Molecule: ribosomal RNA, 417 nt
Filed under: uncultured bacterium
Lineage: Bacteria
Description: bacterial SSU rRNA
Rfam family: Bacterial small subunit ribosomal RNA
Source: RNAcentral
ACAUGCAAGUCGGGCGGUAACACUUCGGGUGACGAGCGGCGGACGGGUGCGUAACGCGUGAGAAUCUGCCUUUUAGUGGGGGACAACCCGAGGAAACUCGGGCUAAUACCGCAUAUGUCCUACGGGAUAAAGCAGGGGACCUUCGGGCCUUGCGCUAAAAGAUGAGCUCGCGUGAGAUUAGCUUGUUGGUGGGGUAAAAGCCUACCAAGGCAACGAUCUCUAGCUGGUCUGAGAGGAUGAUCAGCCACACUGGGACUGAGACACGGCCCAGACUCCUACGGGAGGCAGCAGUGGGGAAUAUUGGACAAUGGGGGCAACCCUGAUCCAGCAAUUCCGCGUGUGUGAAGAAGGCCUUCGGGUUGUAAAGCACUUUCAGUAGGGAAAAUGGGAUUUUGUAUUAAUAGUAUAGAGUCUUGA